GGCGGCGUAGCUCAGUUGGUUAGAGCACAGGAUUCAUAACCCUGAGGUCAGUGGUUCAAAUCCACUCGCCGCUACCA
RNAcentral lists this transfer RNA (77 nucleotides) under Acidobacteriota bacterium. RNAcentral's name for it is "Acidobacteria bacterium (marine sediment metagenome) tRNA-Met". It matches the Rfam family "tRNA". Rfam says of the family: Transfer RNA (tRNA) molecules are approximately 80 nucleotides in length. Their secondary structure includes four short double-helical elements and three loops (D, anti-codon, and T loops). RNAcentral also lists the same sequence under 1 other name. The record is from RNAcentral. Lineage: Bacteria; Pseudomonadati; Acidobacteriota.